UUUACUGACACAAACUUACCGUAGUGUGUUGGUGGUUAGCUGGUAAAUUAGCAUGUCCAAACGAUCGAAAUUAUCUUCAUGCGAGCACAGGAAGGGCAUUUUUAAAGGAGGAAGGACUUCUGAAGCGAAGAGAGAAGUUUUUGAGACUUAUUUUACAGUGAAUGUCAGAGGGAAUACUGAAUACUCAGACGUUAGCAGGUGCUAGCUAGCCACGGACAGGUGCUAGCCAACUGGCAGGUGCCUAACCGUUUCUAGAGAGCAGUUUAUCUUUCAGACUGAUUCAGAAAUCACCAUCUCAGCAGUUUAAUGGAACAGAACAGACAUAAUGGACUUCUAAUGAACUGUACAGAGGACCAGCUGGCUCAGAAAACUGAAGACUUGGUGAGGUCGCCAGUAAACGUGUAAAGGAUAUUUAUUCUCCAUCAUCGUCUGAAACAGCUGACUCUUCGAUUAUCCAAAUGUGGUGGAAAAAUCGCAGACUUUUCUGGUGUGUUUGACGCUGCAGCUCCAGCACGUGUUUGUACGCUGUUCCGGUGAGAAGGCAGUGUUACAGUGCCAGCCGUCUCGGGCCUCGGGGACCAGCAGGGUUAUCACAUCACCUUCGUUGAAGCUCAGCAGGGUGCUGUUGUCACCGGCAGCGUGUGAGAAGAUGGCCUGGACUCGAGUUCUUCCGUUUCUCUCCAGUC
Molecule: long non-coding RNA, 686 nt
Organism: Cheilinus undulatus (humphead wrasse)
Lineage: Eukaryota; Metazoa; Chordata; Actinopteri; Labriformes; Labridae
Exons: 3
Source: RefSeq, a predicted model, not a curated record